RNAcentral lists this ribosomal RNA (113 nucleotides) under Bacillus paranthracis. The record is from RNAcentral. Lineage: Bacteria; Bacillati; Bacillota; Bacilli; Caryophanales; Bacillaceae.
UUCGGUGAUGAUGGCAGAGAGGUCACACCCGUCCCCAUUCCGAACACGGAGGUUAAGCACUCUGGAGCCAGUGGGCGUUGGGACCUUGUCCCUGCGAGAGUAGGCCGUCGCCA